Molecule: long non-coding RNA, 462 nt
Organism: Psammomys obesus (fat sand rat)
Lineage: Eukaryota; Metazoa; Chordata; Mammalia; Rodentia; Muridae
Exons: 3
Source: RefSeq, a predicted model, not a curated record
CUGCCCGCUACCUGCCUUCUCCCCUGCGGCCCUGGCCAGCACCGGCAGCAUCCCCCUCCCCGCGCCCGCGAGAAGCCCAGCAUUCUAGGUGGACGGUUACCAGGGAUCCCGAGAGAUGUGUUUCCCUGUGACCCAUUGGGAAGAAAAACUUAGUUGCCUCGGUAACCGGGUUUGGCUUGGAUGCAAUGAUGCAGUGAGCUUUGUAGAAGCCCACAUGGGUCCGGAUGGAUUUUGCUCUGGAGAUUAAGCUUCAAGGAGACAAAACCUGGAAAAUUGAGCUGGAUAGAAUGACACAUGCUUGGGAGGUGAAGGAGGAUCAGGAGUCCAAGGCCAUCCUUGGCUACAUAGACACUUUGAAGUCACCUUGUCUCAAGAUGGAAAAACAAACUGGGAAAUGAAUUUAUUAUAAAUCGAACCAUAUUCCAAAUACGUAAAACGAGGUUCAUUAUUUUGUUGUGAAAA